Molecule: long non-coding RNA, 20551 nt
Filed under: Triticum aestivum (bread wheat)
Lineage: Eukaryota; Viridiplantae; Streptophyta; Magnoliopsida; Poales; Poaceae
Description: long non-coding RNA (TAES_LNC004278)
Source: RNAcentral
UCCCAAGCCUCUCCUCUUUCCUCCUCGACCACCGGAGUCCUCGCCCCCUCCUCGCCAUUGCCUUCUCGGUCAUUGCCAGAGUCAAGCUGCCCCGGCCAAGCCGAGCCUCCUCUAGCCUCCCCUCCACGUCCACUGCCUCCCCCUCUUCCCGCUGAGCCGCCCCACCCACUUCCCGCCUCGCUGGAGCGGCCGCAUCACCAAAGAACCCCGUCGCCUGAAGCUUCCUGUACUCUCCAUGGCGCCACCCUCCUCUCCUCCCCGCGCCUCCCCGGAGGCCGUACUCCCUCUGGAUGGGUGCGGUUGGCCGCUGUGGUCCCGUCGGUGCCCUCGGCCGGGCUGGAGACGGCCCAAGCAGGUCGGCCCCCUCGCCGCCCCUCCCCUGCUCUGCCUCUGCUUCACGCGAGGAACAGGGCGAGGGGGAGGAAGGGGACGAGCACCCAUGCCCUCCUCCCCCUGCGCCUGGGACCGACGCGCCGGUGCCCCAGCACCUUGCCAUGUGGAUAAGUGGAGGCACGUUUCCCUCUUGGCGCUUUUCUCUUCUGAAAGCAUGUUCCCCGAAAUACGUUUUCCCUUUGAGGAAACGUACUUUUGUUGUUCUUCGGCUAAAAAUACGUUUUUUUUGCAGAAGGCGUAAUCUGCCCGAAGGCGCUUUCAGUUUUUCCUCCAAGGACCUGUUUGUUGAAGUUUUAUUCACAGAUUGGUCCCUGGUGUUCAACACCUCAUAACUCCGCAACCGUAACUCUGAUUGAGGUGAAUCCAACGCCCACUUCUUCGUCUCGUCAAACCCGUUCUUUCAUAACCAUUUUCACUAUGUUUCAACAUUCUAGAAAUGACCAUUUUGCCCUUGCCCCUAAUCAGCCCCCUCCGAGAGAGAACCCAUUUCGGCGAUUCUUUCCGCGGCUUCACCGCACUUCUCCCCGGAGCCUCCUUCAUCCCCAGGAAAGACACAACCACCAUUUGCAUGAUAGCCAUGCAGAAGCAUGGGUUUUCAACUUGAAUCUUUAAUAACUUUUUGUUUGCUUUGCUGCUGAUGUCGGUAUUUCGGUUAUGCUUAUGGAUCGGUGUUUACCGGCAUGCUAUGUUUUCAUCCAUGCUGUUAUUAUGUUAUUCAUGCUAGUAUUACUUUAAUAUUGGCAAUGUUUGGUAGUAGUAAAUGUUGGUGAUGGUCUUCGGUGCCUGACGAUUGUCUGUUCCGAGUACCGGUUUUAUGCCUGUUCCUUUGCAUCCAGUUGACUAAAUACUUGCAUGGUAGUUUUAUCGUUAUGUUAUUGCAUGGUAUUUAUUGUUGAUGCUAAUGGUCAUGUUAUGCUAUGAGUAGUAUUCUAGUUGUGAUAUCUAUGCUCGUCAGUAUGCCAUGCUCAUCUCAAUAAAUGGUUAAAUGUCGUUGUUAUGCUUGUUGAUUGGGAUGCACCCCCAUGCUUAUGUUAAUAUCAUGUUCAUGCAUUGUAGUUGCAUCAGGUUAUUUUUAUCAUGACUCGGCAUUUUGCAUUCAAGAUUAACCGGAUUAAAUUGAACUUGAACAACUGUUGGCUGAGUCAUGCUGCCAUGAUACGUCUCCAACGUAUCUAUAAUUUUUGAUUUUCCAUGCUAUAUUAUAUUUUGUUUUGGAUGAUUAAUGGGCUUUGUUAUACAAUUUUAUAUUAUUUUUGGGACUAACCUAUUAACCGGAGGCCCAGCCCAAGUAGCAGUUUUUUGCCUAUUUCAGUGUUUCGUUUAGAUAGCAUUAGCCGCUUUUCUUCCUUUCCAGAAAAAAUAUAUCAAACGGAGUCCAAACGGAAUGAAACCUUCGGGAACGUGAUUUCUGGAACAAACAUGAUCCAGAGGACUUGGAGUGGAUGUCAAGCAACACACGAGGCGGCCACGAGGUAGGGGGCACGCCCCCCAGGCGCGCCCUCCACCCUCGUGGGCCCCUCGUGGCUCCACCGACCUACUUCUUCCUCCUAUAUAUACCUACGUACCCCGAAACCAUCAGAGGCAUCCAUGAAAACCUAAUUCCACCGCCGCAACCUUCUGUACCCGUGAGAUCCCAUCUCGGGGCCCUUUCCGGAGUCCUGCCGGAGGGGCCAUUGAUCACGGAGGGCUUCUACAUCAACACCAUAGCCUCUCCGAUGAUGUGUGAGUAGUUUACCUCAGACCUUCGGGUCCAUAGUUAUUAGCUAGAUGGCUUCUUCUCUCUCUUUGGAUCUCAAUACAAAGUUCUCCUCGAUUCUCUUGAAGAUCUAUUUGAUGUAACUCUUCUUUUUGCGGUGUGUUUGUCGAGACCAAUGAAUUGUGGGUUUAUGAUCAAGAUUAUCUAUGAACAAUAUUUGAAUCUCCUCUAAAUUCUUUUAUGUAUGAUUGGUUAUCUUUGCAAGUCUCUUCGAAUUACCAGUUUGGUUUGGCCUACUAGAUUGAUCUUUCUUGCAAUGGGAGAAGUGCUUAGCUUUGGGUUCAAUCUUGCGGUGCUCGAUCCCAGUGACAGAAAGGGAAACGACGCGUAUUGUAUUGUUGCCAUCGAGGAUAAAAAGAUGGGGUUUAUAUCAUAUUGCAUGACUUUAUCCCUCUACAUCAUGUCAUCUUACUUAAAGCAUUACUCUGUUCUUAUGAACUUAAUACUCUAGAUGCAUGCUGGAUAGCGGUCGAUGUGUGGACUAAUAGUAGUAGAUGCAGAAUCGUUUCGGUCUACUUGUCGCCGACGUGAUGCCUAUAUACAUGAUCAUACCUAGAUAUUCUCAUAACUAUGCUCAAUUCUAUCAAUUGCUCGACAGUAAUUUGUUCACCCACCGUAAUACUUAUGCUAUCUUGAGAGAAGCCACUAGUGAAACCUAUGGCCCCGGGUCUAUUUUCCAUUAUAUUAAUCUUUCCUCACUUAGCUAUUUCUGGCGCCGUUUAUUUUUCUUUCAUUACUUUGCAUCUUUAUCAUUAAAAUACCUAAAAUAUUAUCUUACCAUAUCUAUCAGAUCUCACUCUCAUAAGUGACCGUGAAGGGAUUGACAACCCUUUUAUUAUGUUGGUUGCGAGGUUCUUAUUUGUUUGUGUAGGUACGAGGGACUUGUGCGUGGUCUCCUACUGGAUUGAUACCUUGGUUCUCAAAAACUGAGGGAAAUACUUACGCUACUUUACUGCAUCACCCUUUCCUCUUCAAGGGAAAACCAACGCAGUGCUCAAGAGGUAGCAAGAAGGAUUUCUGGCGCCGUUGCCGGGGAGAUCUACACGAAAGUCAACAUACCAAGUACCCAUCACAAACUCUUAUCCCCCGCAUUACAUUAUUUGCCAUUUGCCUCUCGUUUUCCUCUCCCCCACUUCACCCUUGUUGUUUUAUUCGCCCUCUCUUUUCCGUUCGCCUCCCUCUUUCACUUGCUCCUCGCAUUUUCUGCCGUUAUGUCUGAAAUUGGGGAAAUUAUUAUCGAUAUGGACAAUAAUAAUAACAUGGAAAAUUCUGAUGCUCCUGCUGAAGAACCCCCUAUCUUACAUACAAAAAAAUUCCGAAUCAGUAGUGGUAAUAUUAUUGGAAAAGGGGUUAUUCAAGAUUUCUUUACUUGUGCCGGUGCUUUGCCUUCUAUGGGUAGUUCUAUUCUCCAUAGAACUAGUAGUCUUGCGGACGCUAUCUCCAUGCUUAUAGUUGAACUUGAAAGGCAAUUUAUGCACAUGCAUCCUUGCAUACAAAGGAUUUUUCUAGAAUUUUCUAAUAUUGAGCAUUCUUCUUUAAAGCGCGCCGCUACUAUCUUUUUGGCACAUGAAUUCAGAUUUAUAAUAAAAGAGGCCAAAGAAAUCUUUGCGCACUGUAGGGUGGACGCUGGUCGUCCUCCCAUAGAGGCAAUCCACUUUGAUCAAGAGGAAAUAAUGUGUUUUCAAUCUUUAGACUAUGUUGCUUUUAAUGAAAACCUUAGAAAAAAGGUUCCUACCAAUGUUCUAGUUGAUAGAAUUUCUGAACUUAAUAAUGAUUUUGCUAUCCGAAAUAAUGAGCUAGGAUAUUCUCUCGAAUAUAGGCUCACGAAGUUCUGCCAAAAGAAUGCUUAUAAUGAUGAAUUGGUUGUGCCAUAUGAAGGGCCGAAGGAGGAACCUAUACCUCCCAAAAUUGAUCUUGGGGACUUCUGUCCCAUUAAAUUUAGACCUUUUGAUUACUUUUGCUUGCCUCAAAGAAAACUACCUGCUGAACGUAGAGAAUAUGAAAUGAGUUUUCGUGAUCUAUCCUAUUAUUAUGGCAAUACCUAGAUCUAUCCUUGCUUUUAUGCCUAGCUAGGGCGUUAAACGAUAGCGCUUGUUGGGAGGCAACCCAAUUUUAUUUUAGUUUUUUUUGCUUUUUGCUUCUGUUUAGGAUUAAAUCUUUGAUCUAGCCUCUGGUUAGAUUUGUUUUUAUGUUUUAAUUAGUGUUUGUGCCAAGUUAAACCUAUAGGAUCUUCUUGGAUGAUAGUUAUUUGAUCUUGCUGAAAAUUCCAGAAACUUUCUGUUCACGAAAACAAUUAUUAAAAAUCACCAGAACGUGAUAAAAUAUUUAUUCCAAUUGCAGCAGAUCAAUAAACAAAUGUUUUAGGUAUUCCUAUUUUGGUAGAUUUUUUUAGUUUCAGAAGUUUGCGUUAGUUACAGAUUACUACAGACUGUUCUGUUUUUGACAGAUUCUGUUUUUCGUGUGUUGUUUGCUUAUUUUGAUGAAUCUAUGGCUAGUAAAAUAGUUUAUAAACCAUACAGAAGUUGGAAUACAGUAGGUUAACACCAAUAUAAAUAAAGAAUGAGUUCGUUACAGUACCUUGAAGUGGUGUUUUGUUUUCUUUCGCUAACGGAGCUUACGAGAUUUUCUGUUGAGUUUUGUGUUGUGAAGUUUUCAAGUUUUGGGUAAAAGAUUUGAUGGAUUAUGGAACAAGGAGUGGCAAGAGCCUAAGGUUGGGGAUGCCCAUGGCACCCCAAGGUAAUCUAAGGACACCAAAAAGCCAAAGCUUGGGGAUGCCCCGGAAGGCAUCCCCUCUUUCGUCUUCGUCCAUCGGUAACUUUACUUGGAGCUAUAUUUUUAUUCACCACAUGUUAAGUGUUUUGCUUGGAGCGUCUUGUAUGAUUUGAGCCUUUGCUUUUUAGUUUACCACAUUCAUCCUUGCUGUACACACCUUUUGAGAGAGACACACAUGAUUCGGAAUUUAUUAGAAUACUCUAUGUGCUUCACUUAUAUCUUUUGAGUUAUAUAGUUUUUGCUCUAGUGCUUCACUUACAUCUUUUAGAGCAUGGUGGUGGUUUUGUUUUAUAGAAAUUAUUGUUCUCUCAUGCUUCACUUAUACUAUUUUGAGAGUCCUACAAAACAGCAUGGUAAUUUGCUUAAAUUGGGAAAUUAGUCCUAAUAUGCUAGGUAUUCAAGAUUAGUAAAAACUUUCUUAUGCCUGUGUUGAAUACUAAGAAAAGUUUGAUGCUUGAUGAUUGUUUUGAGAUAUGGAGGUAGUGAUAUUAAAGUUGUGCUAGUUGAGUAGUUGUGAAUUUGAGAAAUACUUGUGUUAAAGUUGGCAAGUCCCGUAGCAUGCACGUAUGGUAAACGUUAUGUAACAAAUUUGAAACAUGAGGUGUUCUUUGAUUGUCCUCCUUAUGAGUGGCGGUCGGGGACGAGCGAUGGUCUUUUCCUACCAAUCUAUCCCCCUAGGAGCAUGCGCGUAGUGCUUGGUUUUUGAUGACUUGUAGAUUUUUGGAAUAAGUAUGUGAGUUCUUUAUGACUAAUGUUGAGUCCAUGGAUUAUACGCACUCUUAUCCUUCCAUCAUUGCUAGCCUCUUCGGUACCGUGCAUUGCCCUUUCUCACCUUGAGAGUUGGUGCAAACUUCGCCGGUGCAUCCAAACCCCGUGAUACAAUGCGCUCUAUCACACAUAAACCUCCUUAUAUCUUCCUCAAAACAGCCACCAUACCUACCUAUCAUGGCAUUUCCAUAGCCAUUCCGAGAUAUAUUGCCAUGCAACUUUCCACCGUUCCGUUUAUCAUGACACGUUUCAUCAUUGUCAUAUUGCCUUGGAUGAUCAUGUAGUUGACAUCAUAUUUGUGGGAAAGCCAACAUUCAUAAUUUUUCAUACAUGUCACUCUUGAUUCGUUGCCCAUCCCGGUACACCGCCGGAGGCAUUCAUAUAGAGUCAUACUUUGUUCUAGUAUCGAGUUGUAAUCAUUGAGAUGUAAAUAAAUAGAAGUGUGAUGAUCAUCAUUCAUAGAGCAUUGUCCCAACAAAAAAAGGCCAAAUAAAAAAAGGCCCAAUAUAUAUAUAUAUAUAUAUAUAUAAAGGGUCAAUGCUACUAUCCUUUUCCCACACUUGUCCUUCAAAGUAGCACCAUGAUCUUCCUGAUAGAGAGUCUCUUGUUUUGUCACUUUCAUAUACUAGUGGGAAUUUUUCAUUAUAGAACUUGGCUUGUAUAUUCCAACAAUGGGCUCCCUCAAAUGCACUAGGUCUUCGUGAGCAAGCAAGUUGGAUGCACACCCACUUAGUUUCUUUUCGUUGAGCUUUCAUGCAUUUAUAGCUCUAGUGCAUCCGUUGCAUGGCAAUCCCUACUCCUUGCAUUAACAUCAAUCAUUGGGCAUCUCCCUAGCCCGUUGAUUAGCCGCGUUAAUGUGAGACUUUCUCCUUUUUUGUCUUCUCCACAUACCCCCCAAUAUUAUAUUUUAUUCCACCCAUAGUGCUAUAUCCAUGGCUCACGCUCAUGUAUUGCGUGAAGGUUGAAAAAGUUUGAGAUUACUAAAGUAUGAAACAAUUGCUUGGCUUAUCACCAGGGUUGUGCAUGAUGAGAGCAUUCUUGUGUGACGAAAAUGGAGCAUGACCAAACCAUAUGAUUUUGUAGGGAUGAACUUUCUUUGGCCAUGUUAUUUUUAGAAGACAUAAUUGCUUAGUUAGUAUGCUUGAAGUAUUAUUAUUUUUAUGUCAAUAUUAAACUUUUAUCUGGAAUCUUUCGGAUCUGAAUAUUCAUACCACAAUUAAGAGGGUUACAUUGAAAAUUAUGCCAAGUAGCAUUCCACAUAAAAAAUUUUGUUUUUAUCAUUUACCUACUCGAGGACGAGCAGGAAUUAAGCUUGGGGAUGCUUGAUACAUCUCCAACGUAUCUAUAAUUUUUUAUUGUUCCAUGCUAUAUUAUAUUCUGUUUUGGAUGAUUAAUGGGCUUUGUUAUACACUUUUAUAUUAUUUUUGGGACUAACCUAUUAACCGGAGGCCCAGCCAAAAUUGCUGUUUUUUACCUAUUUCAGUGUUUCGGGGAAAAAGAAUAUCAAACGGAGUCCAAACGGAAAGAAACUUUCGGGAACGUGAUUUGUGGAACAAACGUGAUCCAGAGGACUUGGAGUGGACGUCAAGCAACAGACAAGGCGGCCACGAGGUAGGGGGCGCCCCCCAAGGCGCGCCCUCCACCCUCGUGGGCCCCUCAUGGCUCCACUGACCUACUUCUUCCUCCUAUAUAUACCUACGUACCCCCAAACCAUCAGAGGCAUCCACGAAAACCUAAUUCCACCGCCGCAACCUUCUGUACCCGUGAGAUCCCAUCUUGGGGCCUUUUCCGGCGUCCUGCCGGAGGGGGCAUUGAUCACGGAGGGCUUCUACAUCAACACCGUAGCCUCUCUGAUGAUGUGUGAGUAGUUUACCCCAGACCUUCGGGUCCAUAGUUAUUAGCUAGAUGGCUUCCUCUCUCUCUUUGGAUAUUAAUACAAAGUUCUCCUCGAUUCUCUUGGAGAUCUAUUUGAUGUAACUCUUCUUUUUGUCUUGUGUUUGUCGAGACCGAUGAAUUGUGGGUUUAUGAUCAAGAUUAUCUAUGAACAAUAUUUGAAUCUCCUCUGAAUUCUUUUAUGUAUGAUUGGUUAUCUUUGCAAGUCUCUUCGAAUUAUCAGUUUGGUUUGGCCUACUAGAUUGAUCUUUCUUGCAAUGGGAGAAGUGCUUAGCUUUGGGUUCAAUCUUGCGGUGCUCGAUCCCAGUGACAGAAAGGGAAACGACACGUAUUGUAUUGUUACCAUCGAGGAUAAAAAGAUGGGGUUUAUAUCAUAUUGCAUGAGUUUAUCCCUCUACAUCAUGUCAUCUUACUUAAAGCAUUACUCUGUUCUUAUGAACUUAAUACUCUAGAUGCAUGCUGGAUAGCGGUCGAUGUGUGGACUAAUAGUAGUAGAUGCAGAAUCAUUUCGGUCUACUUGUCGCGGACGUGAUGCCUAUAUACAUGAUCAUACCUAGAUAUUCUCAUAACUAUGCUCAAUUCUAUCAAUUGCUCAGCCGUAAUUUUUUUACCCACCGUAAUACUUAUGCUAUCUAGAGAGAAGCCACUAGUGAAACCUAUGCCCCCCGGGUCUAUUUUCCAUUAUAUUAAUCUUUCAUCACUUAGAUAUUUCUGGCGCGGUUUAUUUUGCUUUCUUUACUUUGCAUCUUUAUCAUAAAAAUACCAAAAAUAUUAUCUUAUCAUAUCUAUCAGAUCUCACUCUCGUAAGUGACCGUGAAGGGAUUGACAACCCCUUUAUUGCGUUGGUUGCGAGGUUCUUAUUUGUUUGUGUAGGUACGAGGGACUUGUGCGUGGUCUCCUACUGGAUUGAUACCUUGGUUCUAAAAAACCGAGGGAAAUACUUACGCUACUUUACUGCAUCACCCUUUCCUCUUCAAGGGAAAACCAACGCAGUGCUCAAGAGGUAGCAUGCCACCAUAUCGAGCUGACCAGUGCAACCACGCUUACCUCAUGGGGGGGGGUCCUAACUGGGUCUAUUGUCAUGCCUCUCGCCGGUGCCUCCCGCGAGGGAAGGUUAUGCGCGGGCACUACCUUGGCCGGGUAGGACGGCAUAAGCCUUGUGUGCCCGUUGUUUUUGUAAGGAUCCUUGUCCCCGUUUGGGACCAUUUUGCCACGAUGGUGGCCGUUGGUGCCUUUGGUAGGCAUGGGGCCACCCAGGACUUAGCCCAAAGGGGAGUUGGUCGGAGUGGCCGGGAGAGUGUCAUGGCAGUAGGACGGUUUUGUCGGAACACCAUUGGUCUACCUGAAUGGGAGUGCGAGGCCGUGGGUUCCGUGGUGUGGGUACAGUGUGCUAACCUCUGCAGAGUGUGUCUGUGUGUGUUAAAUCUAUCGAUAGCCGCGCCCGCGGAUAUGGGCCCAGUUCACGUCGGUCACACUGUGGGUCAACAGUAAUAAUAAUGAUGUGCUUAAUAACAACCCUGGUUCGAUGAUGAAAGGAGUUGGUUGAUAUUUAUGUGAUCGAGAGAGGAUCACUGUGGUAUCGUGAUUACCAACUUGUUUGAUAUUUGAGAUGUUAUUCGAAGGUCAAGGGUAAAGUUCAAGCUCCUUGUGGUCAUAAAUGAUUACUAUGGUAUUGUUAAUACCAAGCUUGAUUUGAUCCUGAGAUGAUCGUGUGAUGUCCAUGGUGGUAAGUGAUGCAAGUGAUGGUUACGAGGUAACCCGAGCAGAGUAAGUUGGUGCAUGAUAGUUUCAUCAUGUUGCAUGCUAGUCUCAUCAUGUUUAUAUGUUUAUGCCAUGCUCGUAUUGUUCUAGCUGUAUCAUGUUGUACAUGCCAUGUUGUUCUGAUAGUAUCGUGUUCAUCAUUGAUUAAUAAUCUGUAAUUGCCAUUGUAUUGUUUGUCUUGAUUGCUUUGGUUGCUGUGAGCUUGCAAGUACAUUCAAUGUACUGACCUGGCGUGUCAUGCCAGUCUGCAGGUCAUGCCAGAUUUGAUUGCUUGUUUGCCGUGGAUUCCUUGUUUGCGAGCUAGGAUAAGCGUUCCAGCCAGAGUCCCUGUGGAGUGGAGUUCACCACCGCUGAUGUUGUUCCGCUACCAGGAGUUAUUCCGCUGCAUCGUGUUGUUCGGCUGCUUGCAUGGAGCAACCGUGGCAGGCGUAGUGUCGCCGUGCCGAUGUAAUCCCCUUGUACCCAAUAUAGCUUGCAAUAAAGAGCUGAUUUGUUCUAUGCUAAGCAGUGUCGUAUUCCAGAAGACUUCUCCUCGAUCUUUGGGCUGGAAUACGGGGUGUUCCAGUUUCUCUGAGCCGGCGUGCCACAGGCUUGGUAUCAGAGCAGGUCUGGCUGUAGGAUGCCCUAGCCCACGCGAACGUUAGAAUGCGGUAGUAUAGAGCCCCGUUGGUUUGUUGCAGUUGAGUGCUGCAUUUGUUUGUUGCAUAGCAUGCAUAUAGAUUAUUAUCUUGUCGCUAAUGGUUAAUCUUGUGAGAGUAGGUGGCAUCGUUUUCGAUCCACUACCUGCGCCCUCUUUCUUUGCAUGCCUACUCUUCGGUGUUCGGCGUUAUCUCUGUCCCAGCAGAGUGAUGCCCUGGUACCGAGUGUUCCAGACACCCUUUGCAGGAGUUAUGCUCAGGUAUUGCGUCGAUAUCUUUUCCUCCAUCCACCCAAAUCAUUUUGGUGAUAGACGUGUCUUUAUCCUGAAUCGUGCCUUCCAUCUCGUUCCUUUGGCAAACCUUACUGAUCUUUGUUAUCAGAAGAGGGCAAUGCCAGCAAGCCUUGUUUUUCCUCCCCUAGUUUGCCCUAUCAUCUCAUUCUUUGGACGUGUACAAUUCCCUUUCAUAUGCUUGAUGAUGAUGUGGUCGUGACUUCCGUGUCUCGCUACAUGAUCAGCAAGUCCGUCCUCGCCUCCAUAUCUAUCCAGAUCCAGCCGGUGUUCAGCCAUCGCUUGGUGUAGCGUUGGUUACGCCAACUCUUUCCACACACAGACUCACUUUCGUGCACACCGCCACAGCAUAUUAGACCGUAGUACCAGAGCUUCAGAGACUAUUGUGUUCUUAGGUGUGCAUGCAUAUUAUUGUAUGAGUAGCAGUAAUAUGUGCUGAUUGCUUUAUAUUAUUAGUAUGCUUGUGUGCUUUUGUUUUCGUCGUUUGUUUUUUUCUUUCUUUGGGCCUUCGGUGUUACAAAUUUUCCCCUUAUUAAAGUUGCUCUUCAACCGACACCGGACCUGAAGAGUCAGCAAGGAAUGCAUAUAUUUGGAAACUCAGCUAAACAGAAUGGAACUAUCAUCAGACUGCAGUGAAAUUGGAAUAUCUUGUCUGAAUGCAAAAGAAAUCCUGGAUGGACUGUCAGUAUCAAGUUUGCAUCAGUAUGGAAUUCUCAGCUGACUGCAUUGAGAUCUAGGGGUAUCUGAUCGUGAUACGGAUAAUCAGGUUUGCCUCAGUGUGCACACUUCAUAGUAGAAAUGAUCAAGAAGAUAAGCUAUGUGCAAGAUUGACAGUAUAUGGCAGUACAUCUCAAGAAUCAGAUCUGCAACAGUUCAGUCAAAAACAAGUCUGCCUCGGGAAUCAGAUUUUCAUAUAUAAGCGGUCAGCAUACCACCAAGGUCUUGCAAGUCACUCGAAAGCAGAUUUGACAGGCACAGGAGGAUUGUUAAAAGAAGGAAGCCAACUAUACACCACAGUGUGACAAAGGAAUGAGCUCAGUACAAGUACCUAUGAACCUGGAAGAUGAUCCUGAUGAGCCCUUGUCUUCUUUCUGCAGUAACGGCACUAUGCCUGUGAUCUGAGCCAUUUUUCGCUAUCCGGGGUGGAUGCCGAUUUUUAUUUCUCUCUCCAACGACUGUCAUGAGUUCUGAGCUGCUUUUCGGCCGUCUCAUACAGCUGUUGAGUUUCUUUUUGUGACAGUAGCCCUAUAGCUGCUUUUGGCUAUUUUAGGGAGCUGCCACUUUCUUCUUAUCGCCCAGUCUCAUGUUCUGAGUUGCUUUUCGGCCGUCCUGAGCCGUGGUUGAGUUAUCUCAGUUGUCCCAGAUCUGAGUUGUAAAGACCGUUCUGGUGGCUACUGAUUUAUUUGUCGAUUUCUUGCAAGGGUUCAUAUGAUCAUUUUCCUACGGUCAGAACUUGAGAGGUGAUUGAAGGAAAUAUGCCCUAGAGGCAAUAAUAAAGUAUAAUAUAUUUCCUUAUAUCAUGAUAAAUGUUUAUUAUUCAUGCUAGAAUUGUAUUAACCGGAAACAUAAUACAUGUGUGAAUACAUAGACAAACAGAGUGUCACUAGUAUGCCUCUACUUGACUAGCUCGUUAAUCAAAGAUGGUUAUGUUUCCUAGCCAUAGACAUGAGUUGUCAUUUUAUUAACGAGAUCACCUCAUUAGGAGAAUGAUGUGAUUGACUUGACCCAUUCCGUUAGCUUAGCACCCGAUCGUUUAGUAUGUUGCUAUUGCUUUCUUCAUGACUUAUACAUGUUCCUUUGACUAUGAGAUUAUGCAACUCCCGUUUACCAGAGGAACACUUUAUGUGCUACCAAACGUCACAACGUAAAUGGGUGAUUAUAAAGGUGCUCUACAGGUGUCUCCAAAGGUACUUGUUGGGUUGGCGUAUUUCGAGAUUAGGAUUUGUCACUCCGAUUGUCGGAGAGGUAUCUCUGGGCCCACUCGGUAAUGCACAUCACUAUAAGCCUUGCAAGCAUUGUGACUAAUGAGUUAGUUGCGGGAUGAUGUAUUACGGAACGAGUAAAAAGACUUGCCAGUAAGGAGAUUGAACUAGUUAUCGAGAUAACGACGAUCGAAUCUCGGGCAAGUAACAUACCGAUGACAAAGGGAACAACAUAUGUUGUUAUGCGGUCUGACCGAUAAAGAUCUUCGUAGAAUAUGUGGGAGCCAAUAUGGGCAUCCAGGUCCCGCUAUUGGUUAUUGACGGGAGAGGUGUCUCAGUCAUGUCUACAUAGUUCUCGAACCCGAAGGGUCCGCACGCUUAACGUUACGAUGACAGUUUUAUUGAGUUUUGAUGUACCGAAGGAGUUCGGAGUCCCGGAUGAGAUCGGGGAUAUGACGAGGACUCUCGAAAUGGACGAGACGUAAAGAUCGAUAUAUUGGACGACUAUAUUCGGACUUCGGAAAGGUUCCGACUGAUUCGGGUAUUUUUCGGAGUACUGGAGAGUUACGGGAAUUCGUAUUGGGCCUUAAUGGGCCAUACGGGAAAGGAGAGAAAGGCCUCAAAAGGUGGCCGCAUCCCUCCCCAUGGUCUGGUCCGAAUUGGACUAGGGGAGGGGGGCGCACCCUUCCUUCUUUCUCCUUCCCCCUUCCCUACUCCUACUCCCACAAGGAAAGGAGGAGUCCUACUCCCGGUGGGAGUAGGACUCCCCCCCUAUGGCGCGCCUCUCCCCUUGGCCGGCUGCCUCCCCCUUGCUCCUUUAUACGGGGGCAGGGGGGCACCCCAGAGACACAACAAUUGAUCCUUGAGAUCUCUUAGCCGUGUGCGGUGCCCCCCUCCACCAUAUUACACCUCGAUAAUACCGUUGCGGAGCUUAGGCGAAGCCCUGUGCCGGUGGAACAUCAUCAUCGUCACCACGACGUCGUGCUGACGAAACUCUCCCUCAACACUCGGCUGGAUCGGAGUUCGAGGGACGUCAUCGAGCUGAACGUGUGCUGAACUCGAAGGUGCCGUGCGUUCGGUACUUGAUCGGUCGGAUCGUGAAGACGUACGACUACAUCAACCGCGUUGUGUUAACGCUUCCGCUUUCGGUCUACGAGGGUACGUGGACAACACUCUCCCCUCUCGUUGCUAUGCAUCACCAUGAUCUUGCGUGUGCGUAGGAAAUUUUUUGAAAUUACUACGUUUCCCAACAGUGGUAUCAGAGCCUGGUUUUAUGCGUUGAUGCUAUGCACGAGUAGAACACAAGUGAGUUGUGGGCGAUAUAAGUCAUACUGCUUACCAGCAUGUCAUACUUUGGUUCAGCGGUAUUGUGAGAUGAAGCGGCCCGGACCGACAUUACGCGUACGCUUACGCGAGACUGGUUUCACCGUUCGGAGCACUUGUUGCUUAAAGGUGACUGGCGGGUGUCUGUCUCUCUCACUUUAGUUGAACCGAGUGUGGCUACGCCCGGUCCUUGCGAAGGUUAAAACAGCACCAACUUGACAAACUAUCGUUGUGGUUUUGAUGCGUAGGUAAGAACGGUUCUUGCUAAGCCCGUACCAGCCACGUAAAAUAUGCAACAACAAAGUAGAGGACGUCUAACUUGUUUUUGCAGGGCAUGUUGUGAUGUGAUAUGGUCAAGACAUGAUGUGAUAUAAUGUGUUGUAUGAGAUGAUCAUGUUUUGUAACCGAGUUAUCGGCAACUGGCAGGAGCCAUAUGGUUGUCGCUUUAUUGUAUGAGAUGCAAUCGCCAUGUAAUAGUUUUACUUUAUCACUAAACGGUAGCGAUAGUCGUAAACGCAAUAAGAUUGGCGAGACGACAACGAUGCUACGAUGGAGAUCAAGGUGUCGCGCCGGUGACGAUGGUGAUCAUGACGGUGCUUCGGAGAUGGAGAUCACAAGCACGAGAUGAUGAUGGCCAUAUCAUAUCACUUAUAUUGAUUGCAUGUGAUGUUUAUCUUUUAUGCAUCUUAUCUUGCUUUGAUUGACGGUAGCAUUAUAAGAUGAUCUCUCACUAAAUUAUCAAGGUAUAAGUGUUCUCCCUGAGUAUGCACCAUUGCGAAAGUUCUUCGUGCUGAGACACCACGUGAUGAUCGGGUGUGAUAGGCUCUACGUUCAAAUACAACGGGUGCAAAGCAGUUGCACACGCGGAAUACUCAGGUUAAGCUUGACGAGCCUAGCAUAUAACAGCUAUGGCCUCAGAACACGGAGACCGAAAGGUCGAGCGUGAAUCAUAUAGUAGAUAUGAUCAACAUAGUGAUGUUCACCAUUGAAACUACUCCAUCUCACGUGAUGAUCGGACAUGGUUUAGUUGAUAUGGAUCACGUGAUCACUUAGAGGAUUAGAGGGAUGUCUAUCUAAGUGGGAGUUCUUAAGUAAUAUGAUUAAUUGAACUUAAAUUUAUCAUGAACUUAGUCCUGAUAGUAUUUUGCAAAUUUUGUUGUAGAUCAAUAGCUCGUGUUGUUGCUUCCCUGUUUAUUUUUGAUAUGUUCCUAGAGAAAAAUUAUGUUGAAAGAUGUUAGUAGCAAAGAUGCGGAUUGGAUCCGUGAUCUGAGGAUUAUCCUCAUUGCUGCACAGAAAAAUUAUGUCCUUGAUGCACCACUAGGUGACAGACCUAUUGCAGGAGCAGAUGCAGACGUUAUGAACGUUUGGCUAGCUCAAUAUGAUGACUACUUGAUAGUUUAGUGCAACAUGCUUAACGGCUUAGAAUCGGGACUUCAAAGACGUUUUGAACGUCAUGGACCAUAUGAGAUGUUCCAGGAGUUGAAGUUAAUAUUUCAAGCAAAUACCCGAGUUGAGAGAUAUGAAGUCUUCAACAAGUUCUAUAGCUAAAAGAUGGAGGAGAAUCGCUCAACUAGUGAGCAUGUGCUCAGAUUGUCUGGGUACUACAAUCGCUUGAAUCAAGUGGGAGUUUAUCUUCCAGAUAAAAUAGUGAUUGACAGAAUUCUCUAGUCACCAUCACCAAGUUAAUAGGACUUCGUGAUGAACAAUAGUAUGCAAGGGAUGACGAAAGUAAUUCCCGAGCUCUUCGUGAUGCUGAAAUCGAUGAAGGUAGAAAUCAAGAAAAACUUCAAGUGUUGAUGGUUGACGAGACCACUAGUUUCAAGAAAAGGGCAAAGGGAUAGAAGGGGAACUUCAAGAAGAACGGCAAGCAAGUUGCUGCUCAAGUGAAGAAGCCUAAGUCUGGUCCUAAGCCUGAGACUAAGUGCUUCUACUGCAAAGGAACUGGUCACUGGAGGCGGAACUGCCCCAAGUAUUUGGUAGAUAAGAAGGAUGGCAAAGUGAACAAAGGUAUAUUGGAUAUACAUGUUAUUGAUGUGUACUUACUAGUGUUUAUAGCAACCCCUUAGUAUUUGAUACUGGUUCAGUUGCUAAAGAGUAGUAACUCGAAAACGGGAGUUGCAGAAUAAACAGAGACUAGUAAAAGGCGAGGUGACGAUGUGUGUUGGAAGUAGUUCCAAGAUUGAUAUGAUCAUCAUCGCACACUCCCUAUACUUUCGGGAUUAGUGUUGAAACUAAAUAAGUGUUAUUUGGUGUUUGCGUUGAGCAUGAAUAUGAUUUGAUCAUGUUUAUUGCAAUACGGUUAUUCAUUUAAGUUAGAGAACAAUUGUUGUUCUGUUUACAUGAAUAAAAACCUUUUAUGGUCAUACACACCAACGAAAAUGGUUUGUUGGAUCUCGAUCGUAGUGACACACAUAUUCAUAAUAUUGAAGCCAAAAGAUGCAAAGUUAAUAAUGAUAGUGCAACUUAUUUGUGGCACUGCCGUUUAGGUCAUAUUGGUGUAAAGCGCAUGAAGAAACUCCAUACUAAUGGGAUUUUGGAAUCAAUUGAUUAUGAAUCACUUGAUUCUUGCGAACCAUGCCUCAUGGGCAAGAUGACUAAAACGCCGUUCUCCGGAACUAUGGAGAGAGCAACAGAUUUGUUGGAAAUCAUACAUACAGAUGUAUGUGGUCCGAUGAAUAUUGAGGCUCGUAGCAGGUAUUAUUAUUUUCUGACCUUCACAGAUGAGUUGAGCAGAUAUGGGUAUAUCUACUUAAUGAAACAGAAGUCUAAAACAUUUGAAAAGUUCAUAUAAUUUCAGAGUGAAGCGGAAAAUCAUCGUAACAAGAAAAUAAAGUUUCUACGAUCUGAUCGUGGAGAAGAGUAUUUGAGUUACGAGUUUGGCCUUCAGUUAAAACAAUGUGAAAUUGUUUCACUACUCACGCCACCUGGAACACCACAGUGUAAUGGUGUGUCCAAACAUCGUAAUCGUACAUUAUUAGAUAUGGUGCAUUAUAUGAUGUCCCUUACCGAUCUACCACUAUCGUUUUGGGGUUAUGCAUUAGAGACAGCUACAUUCACGUUAAAUAGGGUACCAUCUAAAUCCGUUGAGACGACGUCUUAUGAACUGUGGUUUGGCAAGAAACCAAAGUUGUCGUUUCUUAAAGUUUGGGGCUGCGAUGCUUAUGUGAAGAAACUUCAGCCUGAUAAGCUCGAACCCAAAUCGGAGAAAUGUGUCUUCAUAGGAUACCCAAAGGAGACUGUUGGGUAUACCUUCUAUCACAGAUCCGAAGGCAAAAACUUUUGUUGCUAAAUUCGGAAAUUUUCUAGAGAAGGAGUUUCUCUCGAAAGAAGUGAGUGGGGGGAAAGUAGAACUUGAUGAGGUAACUAUACCUUCUCCCUUAUUGGAAAGUAGUUCAUCACAGAAACCAGUUUCUGAGACACCUACACCAAUUAGUGAGGAAGUUAAUGAUGAUGAUCAUGAAACUUCAGAUCAAGUUAUUACUGAACCUCGUAGAUCAACCAGAGUAAGAUCCGCACCAGAGUGGUACGGUAAUCCUAUUCUGGAAGUUAUGUUACUAGACCAUGACGAACCUACGAACUAUGAAGAAGCGACGGUGAGCCCAGAUUCCGUGAAAUGGCUUGAGGCCAUGAAAUCUGAGAUGGGAUCCAUGUAUGAGAACAAAGUAUGGACUUUGAUUGACUUGCCCAAUGAUCGGCGAGCCAUAAAAAUAAAUGGAUCUUCAAGAGGAAGACGGACGCUGAUAGUAGUGUUACUGUCUACAAAGCUAGAAUUGUCGCAAAAAGGUUUUCGACAAGUUCAAAGUGUUGACUACGAUGAGAGUUUCUCACUUGUAUCUAUGCUUAAGUCUGUCUGAAUCAUGUUAGCAAUUGCCGCAUUUUAUGAAAUAUGGCAAAUGGAUAAACAAAACUGCAUUCCUUAAUGGAUUUAUUAAAGAAGAGUUGUAUAUGAUGCAACCAGGAGGUUUUGUCAAUCCUAAAAGUGCUAACAAAAUAUGCAAGCUCCAGCAAUCCAUCUAUGGACUGGUGCAAGCAUCUCGGAGUUGGAAUAUACACUUUGAUAAGUUGAUCAAAGGAUAUAGUGUUAUACAGACUUGCGAUGAAGCCUGUAUUUACAAGAAAGUGAGUGGGAGCACUAUAGCAUUUCUGAUAAGUAUAUGUGAAUGACAUAUUGUUGAUCGGAAAUAAUGUAGAAUUAUUCUGCAAAGCAUAAAGGAGUGUUUGAAAGAAGUUUUUCAAAGAUAGACCUCGGUAAAGCUGCUUACAUAUUGAGCAUCAAGAUCUAUAGAGAUAGAUCAAGACGCUUGAUAAGUUUUUUUCAAUGAGUACACACCUUAACAAGAUUUUGAAGUAGUUCAAAAUAGAACAGUCAAAGAAAGAGUUCUUGCCUGUGUUACAAGGUGUGAAAUUGAGUAAGACUCAAAGCCCGACCACGGCAGAAGAUAGAAAGAGAAUGAAAGUCAUUCCCUAUGACUUGGUCAUAGGUUCUAUAAAGUAUGCCAUGCUGUGUACCAGAUCUAUUGUAUACCCUACACUGAUUUUGGCAAGGGAGUACAAUAGUGAUCUAGGAGUAGAUCACUGGACAGCGGUCAAAAUUAUCCUUAGUGGAAUAAGGAAAUGUUUCUCCAUUAUGGAAGUGACAAAAGGUUCAUCGUAAAGGGUUACGUCGAUGCAUGUUUUGACACUAAAUCUAGAUGACUCUAAGUCUCGGUCUAGAUACAUAUUGAAAGUGGGAGCAAUUAGCUAGAGUAGCUCCGUGAAGAGCAUUGUAGACAUAGAUAUUUGCAAAAUACUUACGGAUCUGAAUGUGACAGACCCGUUGACUAAAAUUAUCUCACAAUCAAAACAUGAUCACACCUUAGUACUCUGUGGGUGUUAAUCACAAAGCGAUGUGAACUAGAUUAUUGACUCUGGUAAACCCUUUGAGAGUUGGUCACAUAGAGAUGUGAACUAUGGGUGUUAAUCACAUGGUGAUGUGAAUUAUUGAUGUUAAAUCACAUGGCGAUGUGAACUAGAUUAUUGACUUUAGUGCAAGUGGGAGACUGAAGGAAAUAUGCCCUAGAGGCAAUAAUAAAGUAUUAUAUAUUUCCUUAUAUCAUGAUAAAUGUUUAUUAUUCAUGCUAGAAUUGUAUUAACCGGAAACAUAAUACAUGUGUGAAUACAUAGACAAACAGAGUGUCACUAGUAUGCCUCUACUUGACUAGCUCGUUAAUCAAAGAUGGUUAUGUUUCCUAGCCAUAGACAUGAGUUGUCAUUUGAUUAACGAGAUCACCUCAUUAGGAGAAUGACGUGAUUGACUUGAACCAUUCCGUUAGCUUAGCACCCGAUCGUUUAGUAUGUUGCUAUUGCUUUCUUCAUGACUUAUACAUGUUCCUAUGACUAUGAGAUUAUGCAACUCCCGUUUACCGGAGGAACACUUUGUGUGCUACCAAACGUCACAACGUAACUGGGUGAUUAUAAAGGUGCUCUACAGGUGUCUCCAAAGGUACUUGUUGGGUUGGCGUAUUUCGAGAUUAGGAUUUGUCACUCCGAUUGUCGGAGAGGUAUCUCUGGGCCCACUCGGUAAUGCACAUCACUAUAAGCCUUGCAAGCAUUGUGACUAAUGAGUUAGUUGUGGGAUGAUGUAUUACGAAACUAGUAAAGAGACUUGCCAGUAAGGAGAUUGAACUAGGUAUCGAGAUACCGACGAUCGAAUCUCGGGCAAGUACCAUACCGAUGACAAAGGGAACAACGUAUGUUGUUAUGCGGUCUGACCGAUAAAGAUCUUCGUAGAAUAUGUGGGAGCCAAUAUGGGCAUCCAGGUCCCGCUAUUGGUUAUUGACGGGAGAGGUGUCUCGGUCAUGUCUAUAUAGUUCUCGAACCCGAAGGGUCCGCACGCUUAACGUUACGAUGACAGUUUUAUUGAGUUUUGAUGUACCGAAGGAGUUUGGAGUCCCGGAUGAGAUCGGGGAUAUGACGAGGAGUCUCGAAAUGGUUGAGACGUAAAGAUCGAUUUAUUGGGCAACUAUAUUCGGACUUCGGAAAGGUUCCGACUGAUUCGGGUAUUUUUCGGAGUACCGGAGAGUUACGGGAAUUCGUAUUGGGCCUUAAUGGGCCAUACGGGAAAGGAGAGAAAGGCCUCAAAAGGUGGCCGCACCCCUCCCCAUGGUCUGGUCCGAAUUGGACUAGGGAAGGGGGGUGCACCCUUCCUUCUUUCUCCUCCCCCCUUCCCUUCUCCUACUCCCACAAGGAAAGGAGGAGUCCUACUCCCGGUGGGAGUAGGACUCCCCCCUAUGGCGCGCCUCUCCCCUUGGCCGGCUGCCUCCCCCUUGCUCCUUUAUAUACGGGAGCAGAGGGGCACCCCAGAGACACAACAAUUGAUCCUUGAGAUCUCUUAGCCGUGUGCGGUGCCCCCCUCCACCAUAUUACACCUCGAUAAUAUCGUUGCGGAGCUUAGGCGAAGCCCUGCAUCGGUGGAACAUCAUCAUCGUCACCACGCCGUCGUGCUGACGAAACUCUCCCUCAACACUCGGCUGGAUCGGAGUUCGAGGGACGUCAUCGAGCUGAACGUGUGCUGAACUCGGAGGUGCCGUGCGUUCUGUACUUGAUCGGUCGGAUCGUGAAGACGUACGACUACAUCAACCGCGUUGUGUUAACGCUUCCGCUUUCGGUCUACGAGGGUACGUGGACAACACUCUCCCCUCUCGUUGCUAUGCAUCACCAUGAUCUUGCGUGUGCGUAGGAAAUUUUUUGAAAUUACUACGUGCCCCAACACCCUCCCCCUGCACCUGGGACCCACGCGCCAGUGGCCCAGCACCUUGCCACGUGGAUAAGUGGAGGCACGUUUCCCUCUUGGCGCUUUUCUCUUCUGAAAGCGUGUUCCACGAAAUAGGUUUUCCCUUUGAGGAAAGGUACUUUUGUUGUUCUUCGGCUAAAGAUACGUUUGCUUUCGCAGAAGGCGUAAUCUGCCCGAAGGCGCUUUCAGUUUUUGCCUCCAGGGACUUGUUUGUUGAAGUUUUAUUCACAGAUUGGUCCCUGGUGUUCAACACCUCAUAACUC